UUUGAUUUUUGUUUAAUGUUUUGAAAACAUUAGUAAAGAGAUUCCUUCUCUUAAAAG
This 57-nucleotide transfer RNA is filed under the name Tetragnatha puella. Its description in RNAcentral is "tRNA-Ser". Lineage: Eukaryota; Metazoa; Arthropoda; Arachnida; Araneae; Tetragnathidae. The record is from RNAcentral.